This 73-nucleotide transfer RNA is filed under the name Rhodospirillales bacterium. Its description in RNAcentral is "tRNA-Val". It matches the Rfam family "tRNA". Rfam says of the family: Transfer RNA (tRNA) molecules are approximately 80 nucleotides in length. Their secondary structure includes four short double-helical elements and three loops (D, anti-codon, and T loops). The record is from RNAcentral. Lineage: Bacteria; Pseudomonadati; Pseudomonadota; Alphaproteobacteria; Rhodospirillales.
GGGCGGUUAGCUCAGCUGGCAGAGCGACUGGUUUACACCCAGUAGGUCGGCGGUUCGAUCCCGUCACCGCCCA